This 93-nucleotide transfer RNA is filed under the name Actinomadura sp. RB99. RNAcentral describes it as "tRNA-Leu". Lineage: Bacteria; Bacillati; Actinomycetota; Actinomycetes; Streptosporangiales; Thermomonosporaceae. The record is from RNAcentral.
CGUGACGCUGGAGGAGUACACGAUCUUCGGCUCGUUCAAGGCGAGCCGGUUCCAGGUGCAGCCGGGGCUGUUCGGCGACCCGUUCGUCACGGC